GCCGGGCAUGGUGGCGGGUGCCUGCAAUCCAAGCUACUCGGGAGGCUGAGGCAGGAGAAUCGCUUGAACCCGGGAGGUGGAGGUUGCAGUGAGCUGAGAUUGCGCCACUGCACUCUAGCCUGGGCAACAAAGCAAGACUCUGUCUCAA
Molecule: unclassified non-coding RNA, 148 nt
Organism: Pongo abelii (Sumatran orangutan)
Lineage: Eukaryota; Metazoa; Chordata; Mammalia; Primates; Hominidae
Rfam family: Metazoan signal recognition particle RNA
About the family: The signal recognition particle (SRP) is a universally conserved ribonucleoprotein. It is involved in the co-translational targeting of proteins to membranes. The eukaryotic SRP consists of a 300-nucleotide 7S RNA and six proteins: SRPs 72, 68, 54, 19, 14, and 9.
Source: Ensembl